RNAcentral lists this ribosomal RNA (501 nucleotides) under uncultured bacterium. RNAcentral describes it as "partial 16S ribosomal RNA". It matches the Rfam family "Bacterial small subunit ribosomal RNA", at positions 30 to 523 of the family's 1533-position model. The record is from RNAcentral.
AUUGAACGCUGGCGGCAGGCUUAACACAUGCAAGUCGAGCGGAGAUGAGGUGCUUGCACCUUAUCUUAGCGGCGGACGGGUGAGUAAUGCUUAGGAAUCUGCCUAUUAGUGGGGGACAACAUUCCGAAAGGAAUGCUAAUACCGCAUACGUCCUACGGGAGAAAGCAGGGGAUCUUCGGACCUUGCGCUAAUAGAUGAGCCUAAGUCGGAUUAGCUAGGUGGUGGGGUAAAGGCCUACCAAGGCGACGAUCUGUAGCGGGUCUGAGAGGAUGAUCCGCCACACUGGGACUGAGACACGGCCCAGACUCCUACGGGAGGCAGCAGUGGGGAAUAUUGGACAAUGGGGGGAACCCUGAUCCAGCCAUGCUGCGUGUGUGAAGAAGGCCUUAUGGUUGUAAAGCACUUUAAGCGAGGAGGAGGCUACUGAGACUAAUACUCUUGGAUAGUGGACGUUACUCGCAGAAUAAGCACCGGCUAACUCUGUGCCAGCAGCCGCGGUAA